Molecule: long non-coding RNA, 219 nt
Filed under: Elaeis guineensis (African oil palm)
Lineage: Eukaryota; Viridiplantae; Streptophyta; Magnoliopsida; Arecales; Arecaceae
Description: long non-coding RNA (EGUI_LNC005669)
Source: RNAcentral
AGGAGUUGGUGAGCUUUGAUUGAAGGCUUCUUGAAGGCUUUAAAUGGACUCUUGAUUAGGGAUGAAAAGUUGGCUUGAGAAACCCUUUCUCUUUUGAAUGCUCUUGAAUGCUCUUCAAAUCUCUUUCUUUCUCUUCUUAAUGUCUUGCAAAUCUCUUGUAUGUUUCCCACCUUUUGAAUCUUUUUAUAGCUAUAAGAAAUAGAGAAAAAUAUUCUAGGC